This is a long non-coding RNA of Equus quagga, 3007 nucleotides long. RefSeq lists it as uncharacterized. Lineage: Eukaryota; Metazoa; Chordata; Mammalia; Perissodactyla; Equidae. The transcript is spliced from 4 exons. The record is from RefSeq and is a predicted model, not a curated record.
GCCAUGCAGGUGAGCCCUCUGACAUCCCCCAGCGUUCCUGCCAACCCCAGAGGUGGCAGGCUACGGAUCCCCUUGAACCAGGGUUAUCCAAGACCUUUGGGGCCAUGGGAUGGACACCCACUCAGGCCUGGCUCAGGGGACUGAGGGGACACAGGCUUUUCUGAAAUCAGGAAAGGCCCAGGCAGACCAGGACAGUUGGCCUCCCAGGCCAGGAGUGGACCCUGGGAAAGUCACUGGAGGUGACCACCUUAGUGUGGCGUUUUGAUGAAGGAGCUUGGACUCUGAGACCCCCCUUUCCUGACUGCCCUCCACCCUGCCCCACCCCAUGGCUGAGGGUGCUGUGUCGAGUCCUGGCUCCAUCCUCCUGCCCCAGGCACUGUGGGCAGUUGGAGAGGGACCCUGAGGAUACCUGGUCCCUGGUGAGCAUCGAGCCUGCCGUCCUUUGUGCUUGCUCCGAACAGCUGAUGAUUCAUCCCCACCGUGAUCUGGGCGUGUGCUCCUCGCGUCCAGCUGGAUGCUAGCGUCUCCACCACACGCUCCUUAGACGCUGCCCUCCUGGGGGCUGUGAGACUCCAGCAGCGCUGUGGCCUUCCUGACUGGGGACACUCUGCCCCUCCCGGCGCAGCCGCCUCUUGGAGACAGCAUGCCUUGCUGGACACAUCCCUUGUGUGCCAACUGACCAUCUAGUGUCCAUGGCCCCGUCGCCUUCCAUCUGACUCUCACACCGUGCCGGUGUUGCCCCCACCCUGAAUCAGCAACCAGAGAUGACCUCAGCUCCGAGCCGGCUGGAAUUAAAAAGCUGCCCUGCCUUUCCUGCAGAAACUCCAAUAAGGCUCCCACCUUGGGCUUCCCCUCGCUCGCUCCUGCUUCUGCCCCCUGACCCAAACCUGGUGCUCCCCUUGUGGGCCUGCACAGUGUGGCGUGUCCCCUCCUCUCGGGAAAUGUGGACGAUCAGAAAUAGAAGCCCUAGAUGGAAGGGACAUUUUCAGGUGGGGUGUUCGUGUUGACAAUGUCCUCCAGAGUCUGUGUGCGUUUAUGCUGCCACCACGGCCAGUGCUGAGCAUCCUCGGUUACGUGAAGCGUCACCAACUGGACAGGGAGGACGCAGUGUUGUGACCUGCGUCCCUCUGGCUCCUGGUAAAGUUGAACUCUGCUCCUGUGUUCCGUGGUCGCUGACAUUUACUUUCUUGGGAAUUCCCUAGUUCUAGCCUUGGCUUGUCCUUCAAAUUGUGUCACUGAGACUUUCGUUUUCAACUUGGAGAAGUUCUUUGCACCUUAAGGGGAUUGUUAUGAGUUGAUUUAUGUCCUCCAUAUUCUUAUGUUGAUGCCCUAAUGCCCAAUAUCUCAGAACGUGACCUUUUUUGGGAAAUAGAGUCCUUGCCGAUGUAAUCGUUAAGAUAGGUCCUAUGAAGAAGGGUGGGCCCCUAAUCCAAUAGGACUGUGUCCUUAUAGAAAGGCGACAUUUGGGCAAAGACACACACACAGGGAGAAGGCCAUGCGGAGAUGGAGGCAGAGACUGGGGAGUGCUUCUACAAGCCAACGAACGCCAAAGAUUGCCUGCAAAGCAUGUGAAGCCGGGAGAAACGUGGGACAGAUCCUCUCCCAGGCCCUAGAAGGGACCAGCCCUGCCCACCCCCGAUCUCGGGCUUCUGGCCUCCAGACCAAGACAGUCCACUUCUGCUGUUUCAGCCACAGUUUGUGGUCCUUUGUUACGGCAGGCCCAGCAACCGAAUACCAGGAUGAAACCCACGUCUGCAGCGCUUGCCCACACGUUCUCCGGUUCUGCCAUGUGGAGGAGGAAAGGCAUUUCCGGUCCUCUCUCCCCAGGGACCCUGAGGUUCUCAGGGCUGGCCCUGCAUGUCUCAUGUCACGGAGACACUGGGCUGCCUGCUCCACUUUCCUCCUGGAAAGGAGCCCGAGAUGACACGACACAAACAGCCCUCAGUCUCAAUCCCUCCUUCCGUGGCCCCCGCUGCGUUUGUCACCCUAGUGACUGUGGAGAGCCACCUGACGGGGACCUCCAGCUACAAGCAUUUGAUGGUCCCGUCGUUCUCAGAAGUGAAUCUUAGAUAAGAGAUGCAUAUGCCCAGUUCUAGCAAAGAGUCAAAGAUGGAGCUGCUUUUGCCACCAGGUUGGGCUGAUUCCAUGAUGCUGAACAAGGGCCUCAGAACAAGAAGUGGCCGACCCAGCACAGAUGUCUAAACUGAGAAUGGUGUGGGCACAGAGAACGGCACAGUGUGGACACAGGGUGUUCACACCAGUGCAGACCCAGGAGGCCUCAGGGCCUCGAAUGUGCUGGGUCAGAGCCAACGGGCCCAUCCACACGCAUGCCAGUGUUGACAAUGUAGCAAGAUGGACGUGGUUUCUACUCCAUGCUGUGCUGUGUGUCGCCUGCCUCUGCUCUCCUCCCCAUUCCCGCUAUGCACCAUGUUUCCUAGGGGCCAAGGGGCUGCAAGCUCAUGCCACGAGCGCCAGUGCCCAUCGGUGGCUCUGCUCUGGGAGAGCCAGAAGAAUGUAGGGGAAGGAUCCACUCUCCCCGCUUCAAGUUGGCAUCAGCAGCCACCAGGAUCAGGGCAGACGUCCCUGUCCUGCUCAAGGUGGCCCCUCAUCAGUACACCCAGGACCAAUGGCAUCUCAGCUCCAACAGCUGGAGCAGCGCAGGCUCAGCGGGGCCGAGGGCAGCUCCUGCCACCGGGAGUGCCACCUGCCUUUCCCUCCUCCAAGCCCCCAUUCUCCCUCUGCUCCCCCAGCACCCAGGGAGCCAAUUCCUGGUGCUGAAGUCCCCUCUGUGGAACACCAGCUGGAUUUCCUGACAGCACCCUGACUGUGGGCGUACUGUUCUUAGUGAAGCCACAAACCACUGAGUGAAGGAGCUCCUCCGGGCCAGGGGGAGCCAGAGCCGUGUGCCACAGGGUCAUGCCCGAGCACCACCGCCACAUCCUCCUGCAAGUACAGAUGCAAGCGCCAUGCGCCCGCAUCGCCCCUCCGGCCUCGCCCUGCAGAUCCA